This 257-nucleotide ribosomal RNA is filed under the name uncultured bacterium. Its description in RNAcentral is "partial 16S ribosomal RNA". It matches the Rfam family "Bacterial small subunit ribosomal RNA", at positions 28 to 301 of the family's 1533-position model. The record is from RNAcentral.
GAUGAACGCUGGCGGCGUGCCUAACACAUGCAAGUCGAACGCUCGCAAGAGAGUGGCGCACGGGUGAGUAACACGUAGCUAAUCUGCUCUCAAGACAAGGAUAACUGUAGGAAACUACUGCUAAUACUUGAUAAGCUUACGGACUGUAGAGGUCUAUAAGAAAAGAUUUAUCGCUUGAGGAUGAGGCUGCGCGCCAUCAGCUAGUUGGUAAGGUAAUGGCUUACCAAGGCGACGACGGCUAGGGGACCUGAGAGGGU